Long non-coding RNA from Cynoglossus semilaevis (tongue sole), 402 nucleotides. RefSeq lists it as uncharacterized. The record is from RefSeq and is a predicted model, not a curated record. Lineage: Eukaryota; Metazoa; Chordata; Actinopteri; Pleuronectiformes; Cynoglossidae. The transcript is spliced from 3 exons.
AGAACUCUGCCCGCAGAAAACUUCUUCAACCUGGACCGAGUGAGGGAAAAGUGGGAGGAAAAACCGGAGGAGAGAAAACAGGAUCCAAAACAGGAGGAGGAGUUCCUGCUGCUCUCUCACCGACGAACCUCAUCACGACAGUGUUCAGACUGAGAGAAGAGAUGAAUUGAGAGGAGGAGCAGAGAACCAAGAUUCAGGAGGAGAAGGAGGAGCUGGAACUGUCCUGCGCUCAACUGAAGAGUGAUGUCAGGAUGUACCUUCAAAGAAACAAACAAAUCCUCGGACAGCUGGAGGAGGUGAUCAAAGAGAGGGACAAGGCUUUGGCAUCGCAGGCACAGCAGCAGGAGGAGGUCCGGAUGCUCCUGCGGGACAAGGAUCACUACAGGGAGCUGGUCAGGCAGC